UUCAUAAAUCAAUACUAUAUGAUAUCAUAUCUGGUUGUUGUAGUUGUAUCAGUUUCAACUUCACUCUCUUUAAUUUGUCCUUUUGGGUAAGAUUCCACCUAGCUUUCAAUUAGCUGCAACCUAAAAGCAUAAUAUUAUAGGUCAUGGUUUGAUUUUCCCAAUGUAACAAUAAAUCUCAAUCUAAUUACUGGUACUAGAGUCAUGCAUUACUGUUAAUUGUUAAACAAGCAUAUUAUGAAUUUAAACCUGAAUUUAUAUCUGGAUUUUGGUUUUGAAGGAAGGAACUUAUUACACUUACAUCAAGUAUAUUUUACCACUCAGAAGUUCAUUGUAUCAUGAAAUAACGUCCUUACUGAACUAAUUAAAUAUAUGGUUGAUAUCUUAAUUGAUCAGCUAAAAAAAGCUAGGGUUCUGGUACAUCUUUAAAUCAUGAUGAGACCCCAAAAGCCUAAAAUGCAGAUCAAAAACAUUUUGAAACCUUUGAGCUGUGUUUUGAGAAAGGAAUUGUGUACUUAGGAGUCCAACAUUAAGUAGAUAAAAAUGUACAAUGUGAUACUUAAUCAUGAGGCUCCCACCUAAAAUGCAUUACUUCAUACAUCAUCAUAUGCAUCAAGCAGAAAGAAGCAAAUGCAUCUCUUAACUCAAACACAAUUUUAAGUAGCUUCUUUUUUACUUCUUUUCUGAUGUAUAUGGUAGGUGGCAGCUGCACAUGGUAUACCACAUAAUGGAAAUAUUUGAGACUAUAUUGGUGAUCAGGAAAAUGACCUAUUGGUUAGAAAAUUAAAGGCUAUCAAGAACCUUUUAUUUCUUGUUUUAGUUAGAGCUAGUGACAUGAUAGAUGUAAGACAUAUAUGUCAUUAUCUAUUUUAUAGAUUGUGAGUUUUAAAUGCUUACUGUAAUAAUUUUGGUGGUUAGUAGUAAGGGUAGGAGAAGGAAAGAAGAUGGUAUUGUGUUGCAAUACUAAGUCAUUUUCCAUUUAGUUUGUAUAGAUAGAUUAACUGCAUUGUAAAAUAUACAACAUUGAUAAGUGAUUUUGAAUAACCAUUUCCAUGUAAUUUUAUUAAUUUCCAUCUAAUUUAUAUUAAUUAUUCAAAA
This 1095-nucleotide long non-coding RNA is filed under the name Medicago truncatula (barrel medic). RNAcentral's name for it is "long non-coding RNA (MTRU_LNC001975)". Lineage: Eukaryota; Viridiplantae; Streptophyta; Magnoliopsida; Fabales; Fabaceae. The record is from RNAcentral.